RNAcentral lists this ribosomal RNA (337 nucleotides) under Salmonella enterica subsp. enterica serovar Kentucky str. 29439. RNAcentral's name for it is "bacterial SSU rRNA". It matches the Rfam family "Bacterial small subunit ribosomal RNA", at positions 1 to 334 of the family's 1533-position model. Lineage: Bacteria; Pseudomonadati; Pseudomonadota; Gammaproteobacteria; Enterobacterales; Enterobacteriaceae. The record is from RNAcentral.
AAAUUGAAGAGUUUGAUCAUGGCUCAGAUUGAACGCUGGCGGCAGGCCUAACACAUGCAAGUCGAACGGUAACAGGAAGCAGCUUGCUGCUUCGCUGACGAGUGGCGGACGGGUGAGUAAUGUCUGGGAAACUGCCUGAUGGAGGGGGAUAACUACUGGAAACGGUGGCUAAUACCGCAUAACGUCGCAAGACCAAAGAGGGGGACCUUCGGGCCUCUUGCCAUCAGAUGUGCCCAGAUGGGAUUAGCUGGUUGGUGAGGUAACGGCUCACCAAGGCGACGAUCCCUAGCUGGUCUGAGAGGAUGACCAGCCACACUGGAACUGAGACACGGUCCAG